UACAGAGGUCUCAAGCGUUGUUCGGAAUUACUGGGCGUAAAGGGCUCGUAGGCGGCCAACUAAGUCAGACGUGAAAUCCCUCAGCUUAACUGGGGAACUGCGUCUGAUACUGGAUGGCUUGGAUUCGGGAGAGGAAUGCGGAAUUCCAGGUGUAGCGGUGAAAUGCGUAGAUAUCUGGAGGAACACCGGUGGCGAAGGCGGCAUUCUGGACCGAUAUUGACGCUGAGGAGCGAAAGCCAGGGGAGCAAACGGG
This 253-nucleotide ribosomal RNA is filed under the name uncultured bacterium. Its description in RNAcentral is "partial 16S ribosomal RNA". It matches the Rfam family "Bacterial small subunit ribosomal RNA", at positions 524 to 776 of the family's 1533-position model. The record is from RNAcentral.